Hirundo rustica (Barn swallow) is the source of this 2253-nucleotide long non-coding RNA. RefSeq lists it as uncharacterized. The transcript is spliced from 13 exons. The record is from RefSeq and is a predicted model, not a curated record. NCBI's taxonomy places the organism in Eukaryota, Metazoa, Chordata, Aves, Passeriformes, Hirundinidae.
CACAGCUUCACUCCAAGCUAACACUUGGCAGUGCUCUGCUCCUGCCUGGAGCCUUCAGCACUGGGAGAGCUCCAGCAGGACAUGGCCUGGUGGUGCUGGGGAGAAGCAGCCAAGGACAUCAGGCAGGUGCUUGACAGUCAAACAAGUGCAGAUUAACCCUUAGAUGACCAUUGAAUUUCCAGCUAGCUGCUUCUAUGUCUAGAGCUGGUGCUGUGUCCGCAGUGCAGCAAAGCCCAACCUACAUCUGUUGUCUUGGAGCAUUGCCAGAGGCUGUCCCAGGAGGAACGUCCUCUGCCACCCCAGCAUCCUUGGUAUUGAAAAACCUCCCAGAAUGGAUGUCAAGGAGUUGUUCUGUUGAAGCAUGGCAGCUGUCUGCAUGUGGACAGAAGGAAGCAAAGGGAAAAACAGCUGCUGUCUUUUCUCUUUUCUGGGUAUCUUGGCCACUCGGAUCCCCUGACCAAAGAAUGACCAACACCAACAGCUUGGAGGCACCCAGCCAGCAGCAACAUCAGGAGCUAUUGCAGCUUCCCCACUGCCUGCGGUGACUACAAAUUUGAGCUGAAUUAAUCCCAGACAGAGGCUCAAUCUGAGGCAAACUUUCCUUCCAAAAUGUUCAGUCUGAAGAGACGUGAAAGCAGGACGGGCUGGCCACCUACCUUCCCCGUGUUGGUCUCAUCCUGGGCAAAGGAAGAAUGAAUGACACUUCAUUUUAUUAAGCCCAGAAAGGAGGCUGUUGGCCACUUUGUUCAACUUCCCCGUUGGUACCACCCAUGAGUUUCUUCUUGCUCUCAGGAUUGGGUUAACAACAUGCUUCUCAUCCAGAAUUUUUCCAGGAUCCUGAACUCCAGAUCUAUCCAUAACUGUCUUUCAAGGAGGCGAAGUCUACUUGCUAUGUACUGGAAUGUGUCCUUUAUAUUUGAUAUUAACUAAUGGGGAUGAAAUUGUUCUUGGCUCUUGAUAUUACUGAGUGUUCCCUUUGGGGGCUGGAUUCCUUCCCAGCAAAUGGUAGCAGCCAUGAGCAAAGGCUGUUGAAAUGUCAGAUGGCAAAAACAAGCAAGAGCUCCAGAUGGAGCAACUGGAAGAGAAACACGACAAAGAUGGUGAUGGGAAAGCUUCAGAUUCACAUUUGAUUGGGAGUCCUUUUCUUGGGAUUGGGAGUCCCCACCUGUGGCUUCCAAACCCACUCUCUGUGCAAGCCAUUGUGCAAAGCGGCAUCCCUUGAGGAAGUUCUUCAUUAUUAUGACUGAAUGUGGUGUGUCACAACUCCUACCUGCUGGUCAGCAAGUGGAACCUCACAAUGAAGUGCUUCCCAGCGCAGCAAAACUUCCUGACCACCACUGACUGCGUUGGACACUUUACUGCUCCAGAGAAAUCCAAAGAAGAGGGCUGUGGAAGUGGAGCAGAACAGGACCAACUCUGGCAUUUUGGCUGCUCCAGAUGAGCCAGGAAAUCAGCAGGAAGUGGCACCCAUCCCCUGUAGACACCACAGCCCAUGCUAGUCAUGGUACCAAUCCUUACGUGGGAGCCUUGUGUUUUCCUUCAGAGCCCAUCAGCUCUCCAAAGGGAUGCUGCAGUGUGAGGUGUUUGGGACCAGGAAGGUCCCAGUUUGGAGGUGGGAAGUCCUGCUGCCUCACAGUGCUGCCAGAGUGUUCCAGUCCCGAGCCAUUCCCUUGCCUGUUUGCUUUUGCUGUUUACUGAUUUACCACCGAGGUGUCGGCCCAGAGCAGACUGUGCCGAACUCCUUCGGUGGCCUGGGGGCUGCUGCCAGCUCUGCCAAAGUCCUGCGGUGCUGGGAGUGUUUCUCCCCCAAGCGAGGGGGAGAGAAUCAUGUUCCUGUGAGAGCAGCACCACCUCGAGCUCCUCUCAGAAGCGCGCCUGGCUCUAGAAAUUCCACCAGGAACAGGCUGAACCACACCAGCCUUGGUGGCUGCUCCCACCAUUCCAGGAUGGAUGUCUCUUCAUCUCCCACACAGCUGGCCCAGCUGAGAACAUUGAUCUGAAGCUGUACCCUGAAAUGCUGAGACCACUGGUGAGCUGUAGGAGGCCUUCAGCAACCACCAGCUUUACUCCAGAAGGAAAAGGUAGAAUUUCCUGGAUGACCAAGCUGAGAGAAGGGAUAUCAAAUUGGGAAAAGGAACAAUGCUGAGGACAAAGCUGUCAUUUUUUACUACCUGUCUUGUGAUAGACUGUGGGUUUUGAUAGAUUUUGCAAGAGAAGAGGGCUUAUAUAAUUGUAUUGUGGGUGUGAACUCUU